This 246-nucleotide long non-coding RNA is filed under the name Trifolium pratense (red clover). Its description in RNAcentral is "long non-coding RNA (TPRA_LNC012471)". The record is from RNAcentral. Lineage: Eukaryota; Viridiplantae; Streptophyta; Magnoliopsida; Fabales; Fabaceae.
ACCUCCAGCAGUCUAGCAAGUUACCAAGCUUGAUCACCGUUGCUUCCACACAAGGUCUCCAUAGCCAUACCACUUUGGUAUACCUCCACCUCAAACCGAGAUUCUUCCACCAAAGCCUUAAACCGGUAUACCCACUAUGUCUUCCACCUUGUAACUGAGUAUUCUUACCACCGCCUCUCCAGGCUGAUGUUGAGUAUUAUUUCACCGCCUCUCCAGGCCGAUGUUGAGUAUUAUUACCACCGCCUC